RNAcentral lists this ribosomal RNA (497 nucleotides) under uncultured bacterium. Its description in RNAcentral is "partial 16S ribosomal RNA". It matches the Rfam family "Bacterial small subunit ribosomal RNA", at positions 28 to 507 of the family's 1533-position model. The record is from RNAcentral.
GAUGAACGCUGGCGGCGUGCCUAAUACAUGCAAGUCGAGCGAACAGACGAGGAGCUUGCUCAUCUGACGUUAGCGGCGGACGGGUGAGUAACACGUGGAUAACCUUCCUAUAAGACUGGGAUAACUUCGGGAAACCGGAGCUAAUACCGGAUAAUAUAUUGAACCGCAUGGUUCAAUAGUGAAAGAUGGUUUUGCUGUCACUUAUAGAUGGAUUCGCGCCGCAUUAGCUAGUUGGUAAGGUAACGGCUUACCAAGGCAACGAUGCGUAGCCGAGCUGAGAGGGUGAUCGACCACACGGGAACUGAGGCAGGGUCCAGACUCCUACGGGAGGCAGCAGUAGGGAAUCUUCCGCGAUGGGCGAAAGCCUGACGGAGCAACGCCGCGUGAGUGAUGAAGGUCUUCGGCUCGUAAAGCUCUGUUAUUAUGGAAGAACAAAUGUGUAAGUAACUAUGCACGUCUUGACGGUACCUAAUCAGAAAGCCACGGCUAACUACGUG